ACUCAAAGGAAUUGACGGGGGCCCGCACAAGCGGUGGAGCAUGUGGUUUAAUUCGAUGCAACGCGAAGAACCUUACCAAGGCUUGACAUGGAGACGAAUAUCGUAGAGAUACGAUAGCCUUCGGGCGUCUCACACAGGUGGUGCAUGGUUGUCGUCAGCUCGUGCCGUGAGGUGUUGGGUUAAGUCCCGCAACGAGCGCAACCCCUAUUCUUAGUAGCCAGCAGGUUAAGCUGGGCACUCUAAGGAGACUGCCGUGGAUAACACGGAGGAAGGCGGGGAUGACGUCAAAUCAUCAUGCUCUUUAUGUCUUGGGCUACACACGUGCUACAAUGGUCACUACAAAGUGAAGCAAACCGGCGACGGCAAGCCAAUCACAAAAAAGUGGCCCCAGUUCGGAUCGCAGUCUGCAACUCGACUGCGUGAAGUUGGAAUCGCUAGUAAUCGCGAAUCAGCAUGUCGCGGUGAAUACGUUCCCGGGCCUUGCACACACCGCCCGU
Molecule: ribosomal RNA, 497 nt
Filed under: uncultured bacterium
Lineage: Bacteria
Description: bacterial SSU rRNA
Rfam family: Bacterial small subunit ribosomal RNA
Source: RNAcentral